CAAUAGCGUAUAUUAAAGUUGUUGCAGUUAAAAAGCUCGUAGUUGAAUUUCUGGUGGGCGCGCCGGUCUUCCAAGUGUUGUACUGGGCGCAGUCCGCCAUCCUUGUGGAGAGGGCUCGCAUUGAGUUGCGUGUCGGAUCUGCAUCAUUUACUGUGAAAAAAUUAGAGUGUUUAAAGCAGGCUGUCGCUUGAAUACAUUAGCAUGGAAUAAUAAGAUAGGACUUCGGUCUAUUUUGUUGGUUGCGAACCGAGGUAAUGAUUAAUAGGGAUAGUUGGGGGUAUUCAUAUUUAAUUGUCAGAGGUGAAAUUCUUGGAUUUAUGAAAGAUGAACAACUGCGAAAGCAUUUACCAAGGAUGUUUUCAUUGA
This 366-nucleotide ribosomal RNA is filed under the name uncultured eukaryote. RNAcentral's name for it is "partial 18S ribosomal RNA". It matches the Rfam family "Eukaryotic small subunit ribosomal RNA", at positions 592 to 976 of the family's 1831-position model. The record is from RNAcentral.